GUGGGCCUCUCACUGCUGUGGCCUCUCCCGUUGCGGAGCACAGGCUCCGGACGUGCAGGCUCAGCGGCCAUGGCUCACGGGCCCAGCCGCUCCGUGGCAUGUGGGAUCUUCCCGGACCGGGGCACGAACCCGUGUCCCCCGCAUUGGCAGGCGGACUCUCAACCACUGUGCCACCAGGGAAGCCCGGCAGGCGGAUUCUUAACCACUGCACCACCAGGGAAAUUCCACUAACAAAAGUUCUUAUUGGUGAUCUUUAAUGGUAUAUUUUGUGGGUAGAGGAGACUAAGAGAGAGAAGCAGCAUCAUAGAAUUUUAGAGAUGGACAGAUUAUUAGACACUCCCUAUGUCAAGCGCUUAUUCAUUGGGCUAGUCAAGCCUACAAGAGACUGGGUCAGUGUAGUCCUGAGGGCCAGGCCAGACCUAAAGUAGCAACCCAAGAUAUCAGAUUAAGACUAGAAGCAAGAGGAGACGUUGUGGUGGAUGCUUCCAGCUUUCCAUUCUACCUCAUGGUUUUUGUUUGUCAGCCAGACUGCUCUGUAUCUCUGUGUAGAAUUCAAAGCCUGUGUUGCUAAAAUAUUAUGAUGUACUCUAGGUUAAUAUGCAUAAAAUCAAACUUGCAUAAAUCAAAUUUUGUGCAACUCAGGGAGCAUCUAUAAUAUAAAAGCUGAAGAGCCUCCAUGGGUUUCUAGUUAGUUUUCAAAUCCAAAGAUAUUAUUAGGCUACUCCUAAUAUCAUAAUUAUUGUGCCCAUGUGAUUGCCCUUUAUUAACAGCUGUGUUUUCCUUAGAAGUCUAGGCCUGCAAGACUUAACCUAAUUUUGGGAAUUCCCUGGUGGUCCAGUGGUCAGGACUUGGUGCUUUCACUGCUGUGGCCCAGAUCCCUGGUCGGGGAAAGAAGAUCCUGCAAUCCGCACAGCACAGCCAAAAAAAAGACUUAACAUAAUUUAGCAGCAUCAUGGAGUAGGCCAUUCUCAUUUUACUCUAAUUUUUCAUGCUUCAGGGCCCUGGCAAGAAGCAAAGUUCUGGGAAGGGGCCAUGCCACACUGAAACCAGACCUGCAAGGGAGAGGAUCUGUACAUCAGAUGGGGAAAUGAAGACUCAGAGUGACUAAGUAACUUGGCCAAAGUUAUAUAGACAGUAGACACGGACCAGAUCAUGAAGGGACAUCAUAUGUAUCCUGUGGGGUAGACAUCUGGGAUAUCUGCUUAUCCAUGUCCCCUUCUCUGAAAAUUGUCUCUGACCUGCCUACAUUUUUUGUCUGGUUACAUUGUAUGGUUGAUUCCUGAUCCAAGCUGGGCAAAUCACACUGGUUCAGGAACAUUGGACUCUAAAGAUCAUGUGACUUGCAAGGCUGAAGACCCUAUUUGGGGGCAGCCAGUCCUGAUUCUACUGUGUGCCAAGUAUUGUUCUAAAUACUAGGAAGACAGCAGCGAACUAAAUAGACAGGAUUUGCAUACUGGAAAUAUUGUAGUGGACAAAGACAAGAAUCUUGCCAAAUGGAGCUUGCAUUCUAGAGUCUUCUGCAGAGUAACAGGGGAAGAAGCUGGUCUGCAUAGAACAGAGGAGGUCAUGCAGCUUAUAGCAGAUUAGAUCAUUGUUCUCAGUUCUUCACCUCUGUGUAUCCAUUCUCUUGCCAUGGCUUCUUGGUGAAUGGAGUAUACUUCUCUGUCCCUUGAUUUUGAGCUUGGCAAAGUCAUUUUGCUUUGGAUAAUGGAAUGUUAAUGAAGUUGAUGUAAGCAGUGUCUCAGUAUGCCAGUCUUUUUAGAGGCUGAAUAGUAUUCCACUGUAUGUAUAUGCCACAU
Long non-coding RNA from Kogia breviceps (pygmy sperm whale), 1799 nucleotides. RefSeq lists it as uncharacterized. The record is from RefSeq and is a predicted model, not a curated record. Lineage: Eukaryota; Metazoa; Chordata; Mammalia; Artiodactyla; Physeteridae.